RNAcentral lists this long non-coding RNA (2025 nucleotides) under Piliocolobus tephrosceles (Ugandan red Colobus). Its description in RNAcentral is "lncRNA (ENSPTEG00000009389.1)". Lineage: Eukaryota; Metazoa; Chordata; Mammalia; Primates; Cercopithecidae. The record is from RNAcentral.
UUCUACAUUAAAAAACAUGUUUAAAUUUUUUUUUUUUUUCUUUUCUUAUAUAAAGUUUAUGUAACAAAGUUCAGAUCAAAUAAUAAAAAAUAUACAUACAUAAUUAUAUGUUCACACAUUCUAUUGACAAAAAAAAAAAAAAAAAAAAAAACUAUAAAUUUCAGUAAUACAUUCGAGUGUUAGUUUAGUUAAUAUAAACUAUUGAGAUAAGUAGCAACAAAUGACAAAAAAAAACAUGCAUCUUAUAUGUAUAUAAACGGGUGCGCACAUAAUAAAUACAAUAGCUGGUUGGUUCUGUUCUGUUCUGUUCUGUUCAAACAAAAAAAAAAAAAAAAAAAAAAAAAAACGGGAAAGAAGGAACGAGCAAAAUAUAAAUUAGAUAAUUGUAUUAAUAAAAAGGUGAACGAAUAAAGGAGGGAGCAAAUUUACAUACACGCCUAUAUGCACAGUUUGCUACCACAUGCACCACAUGCACCACCUACACAACCUACACAAUCUACACAACCUACACAACCUACACAACCUCUCAUGGAAAAUCUAAAAAACAUCACCCCAAUUGAUGGUAGGUACAAAUACGCAUGCUCAGAAUUAUCAAACUAUUUGUCCGAAUACGCUUUAAUAAAACAUAGAAUUAUAGUAGAAUUGAAAUGGUUGUUAUUUUUAAAUGAAAAAGAAUUUUUUUUUAAAAAGCUUAGCGAAAAUGCUGUUAAUAAAUUAAAUACAAUUCUUAACAACAUAAACGAUAACAACAUUAAAAGAGUAAAAGAAAUUGAAAAAAAAACAAAUCAUGAUGUAAAAGCUGUUGAAUAUCUAAUAAAAGAAUUGAUAUGCAAUAUCAAUGAUACUGAGUUAUUAAAUAUAAAAGAAUACGUACAUUAUUUAUGUACAAGUGAAGAUAUAAAUAAUAUAUCUUAUGCAAUUUGUGUGAAAUUAUGUACAAACGAUAUUAUAAUACCACAGCUAGAAACAAUUAUGAAUAAAUUAAAAUAUUUAUCUGUAACAUAUGCUGAUAUUCCUUUAUUAUCUCGAACACAUGGUCAAGCUGCAUCUUCUACUACUUUUGGAAAAGAGAUGGCUAAUUUUUAUUCUAGAUUAUACAAACAUAUAACUACAUUAAAAAAUGUUAAAUUCUAUGGUAAGUUUAAUGGUGCAGUUGGUAAUUUCAAUGCUCAUAAAAUAUCAAAAGAAAAUAUUGAUUGGAUUCAAAAUAUAAAAUAUUUUAUUAAUACAUAUUUUAAUUUACAUUAUAGUAUAUACUGUACACAAAUACAAGACCAUGACAAUUUAUGUGAGCUAUUUGACACCUUAGCUAGAAUUAAUUCAACCCUUAUCGAUUUAUCAGUUGAUAUAUGGCUUUAUAUUUCAAAUAAUUUAUUAAAAUUAAAUAUCAUAGAAGAAGAAGUAGGAAGUAGUACUAUGCCACAUAAAGUAAAUCCAAUUGAUUUUGAAAAUGCGGAAGGGAAUUUAUGGCUAGCUAAUAGUUUGUUUAAAUUGUUUAGCUCAAAAUUACCAAUUAGUAGAUUACAACGAGAUUUGUCAGAUUCAACUAUAUUAAGAAACAUAGGAACUGCUUUUUCUUAUUCACUUAUAGCUUACAAAUCUAUAUCUAAGGGAUUAGAUAAAAUAGAUGUUCAUGUUAGUAAUAUAAACAAUGAAUUGGAUAACAAUUGGGCUAUAUUAGCAGAGCCCAUUCAAAUUAUAAUGAAAAAAUAUAACUUUCAUAAUGCUUAUGAAGAAUUAAAAAUAUAUACAAGAGGCAAAAGUAUUAACAAACAAUUGAUUCAUAAAUUUAUAAAAACAAAAUGUACUUCUUUACCUCCACACGUUGUUAAUGAAUUAAUAAAUAUAACUCCAACCAACUAUAUCGGAUAUGCUAGUUAUUUAGCAAAGAAUGUAGAAUGUUUAGUUAAUGAGUUUGAAACGGUGCAAAUACCUACGCAAGGUGAGGAAGGAAACCAAAUCAUGGACUCCGAACGCCAAUCCCUAGUUUAGGUUCUUUGCAUAUGUAGCAAUACCUACGUACGA